GUGCAGCCGCCGCGGUAAUACGGAGGGUGCAAGCGUUAUCCGGAUUCAUUGGGUUUAAAGGGUGCGCAGGCGGAUACUUAAGUCAGUGGUGAAAUCCCGGGGCUCAACCCCGGAACUGCCAUUGAUACUGAAUAUCUGGAAUACGGUUGAAGUGGGCGGAAUGUAGCAUGUAGCGGUGAAAUGCAUAGAGAUGCUACAGAACACCGAUCGCGAAGGCAGCUCACUAAGCCGAUAUUGACGCUCAGGCACGAAAGCGUGGGGAGCGAACAGGAUUAGAUACCCUGGUAGUCCACGCCGUAAACGAUGAUAACUCGUUGUUGGCGACACACAGUCAGCGACUAAGCGAAAGCGAUAAGCUAUCCACCUGGGGAGUACGAUCGCAAGGUUGAAACUUGAAGGAAUUGACGG
RNAcentral lists this ribosomal RNA (408 nucleotides) under uncultured bacterium. Its description in RNAcentral is "bacterial SSU rRNA". It matches the Rfam family "Bacterial small subunit ribosomal RNA", at positions 505 to 916 of the family's 1533-position model. The record is from RNAcentral.